AGAGAACUUUUUCAGUUGCAUCGAGAGGCCGAUGCUGAGCUGCGGCCGCCGGGACGGGGGCAGGAGGGCCCCCCACCACUGUGUGAUGGAAAUGGGUGAAGUGUUCCUCCAGCUGUGCCAAGAGGUGGCCAGGCUGCGGGAGCUGUGCUCCAGGCAGAGCGAGCUGCUGCAGAAGUUGAGCGCCAGGAAGGGCCCUGUCCUGGACAUCCCCACAUCGCUGCCCAUCCAGUGCACGGAGGAUGCUUGGGCAGAGGGAGGGGAGCAGCCAGCAGCCAGCCCCCAGGUGCACCCUGAGGCCUCGCAUGGCUCUGCCCACCCGCUGGCCCCACUGCACGCUGCCCACGUGCUGCCCGGCUCCGGUGGUUGGUUCCCAGUGUGCAGUGACCUCGAAGCUGGAAGAGCUGCCCUCCCCGGGGCUUUUGGCAGCAGCCAGGCGGGGAGGAAGGAGAAGAUGCUGGUAGACACAUGGCUGGAGGACUGUAGGAUGGCUCCUACCACAAAUAGCCCCGAGGAAGAAGUGAGACCUUGCUGCAGCCCACAGGAGUUUGCGGCACCAAGCAGUGAGGCUGCGGACUCCUUCCUGACUAUCCUGGAUCUCUACGAAGCCCCAGAAGCCCUUCGGGGGGAGGAUGCUCCCAGCGAGAGCGCUCUGCCUGCUGCAGACAAGGUGCCAGUGGAAAUCCGAGGACCCCUGAAGACCUCCUGGACGCCGGGCUGGGUGCUGGAGGACUCUGUGCUUGGACCGGGCGCAGCCGCGGCCGCUCAGACAUGUGACAUUUGCCAGGAGAUCUUCCCUGCGGACACCGCAGCUCAGGCUGACUAUUUAAAGCACGUCUUAACCCAUAUGAAGUAGAGCUUUAGGACUUCAUGCUCAGGAACCCACGUAUGUGCAACUGUGAGCAGCACAGUGGGUUCCGGACCUUUAGGAGGUGCGGCUGCUGGGUCAGACCAGGCUGCUGUCCCCUUCCGUGUAACCCGGGUUGGUUCCUGCUGCCCUGCCUUGGGCCCCAGUGAGGGUUCUAGGUGUGUUUCAUCUCAUUGAGCUUCGUGGAUAUCAAAACUGCUUCUGUGCUGAGCUCCAGAUGCAUGUAGGAGGUCUGGGGAACUGCAACUUAAUGGGAAAUGGACGUUUUCCCAAAAUUCUCCGUAACUGGAAAAUGUUGAUUUUUUUUUUUCCCUGAAUAGAGAAAAAUAUUUGAAAAGCUGCAUUGUUUUUUUUCCAAGAACACGAGUGAGAGGAUCACCACGUUUUGGUGGCACUAAAUGUGAAUUUGCCUUUGGAGAGGGCGUGAGCGCUGGGGCCGCAUGCACGAUGCCCCCCGCUCUGCUGUGGUGCAAAGCUCUGAUUCCAUCACUACGAGGGGCAGAACUGAGACCUCUCCUCGCUCCUCAUUAAAACCUCAUCAGCUCCAGCUCUUUAGCUCCUGGGAGUUUAAUUGGUCGCUAUCCAGGUGGGAAGAGGCUGCUCAGGGCCCAUAGGUGAGGGAUGGGCUGCUGGGUGUAGGGAAGGGUGGAGUGGCAAGGAGUUCCUGCAGUGCAGCAAUGAGGUGGGCACAUGGGGUGUUAUCCUGCCAUAUCCCUUCUAUUUGGGGUGCUAUCUGUGCUCUCAGAAUGAAGAUUGCACUCCUUCAUUAGCAGCAGAUGUGAUGUUGUUGUUCCAUAACGUUUUCUGUCAAUAGAUAUCCAUGUGCUUUGCAAAGGAGUUCACCUGGAAACAAAAGAGCAAAAUGCUGGUUAGCUCCAAAUCGUUUUGUUUUGCUUCCUUUGGAAAAACCUAAUCUCAGGCCUUUAUGUUCAACAUGUAGCUCUGAAGCAGAUCUGGCAUCGCAUCUUUGAGGCAACUUGCAUUUAAAUCAACGGCCGACGUCUCUGCUUCCAUGGAUGGAGAUUAAUUCCAGUCUCCAGCUCCAGAAUCUCAUCUUUAGCAGCACAGAUAAUAGCAAAGACUCGAGGCUCUUCCCAGAAGUGUAGCUGCAUUAUGAAGCUGCUGUGACCGCAGCGGAGCUGAUGACAAACAUCUGUGUGUCCCGAGGAACUCGUCCUUCAGAUGGGCAGGGACUGAUGUGCAUGGGGCAGAACCGGCUCCUGGCAAUUUGGGAUUUGCAGACUUGGGGUUUGCAGCCACUUCUCUGGGGACCUUUUUCCAGGAUGGAGCCCUCAGCUCUCUUGCUUAGAGCCACAGCUCUGGGCUCAGUUCCUUCCAUGCAGAUUCUGGAGCUGCUCCUUGGCCUCAGCACAAUUAGGACCUUGACUUGGUGGGGGUCAAAGUGGGAAUUCUUACAUCACAGUGCAGAACCCCCGUUGGCAUCUCCAACAGCUCCAAGCUGCCUCCUGUGGCUCUCCAAUUUAAUUAGGCAGUGGCAUCAUUGUAUAGUGUUUUGUGCUGUUCUGUAGGGCCUGGAAGAAAGUAUCUGUUCACAGCUUGCAGAAUUACUAGAAGCACCAGCUCUGACAGCGCUCUGCAUCAAGAAGGGCCGUAAAUUCAUUUGGCAUAAAAUUGUAACAGCUAUCCAGAAUUUGCCAGAAGGAAGAAAACCAACCCGGUUCCUCCUGCUCUGAGAGCAAGUCCAAUAAAUUUAAUUUAAAAAUUGUGAGCA
Molecule: long non-coding RNA, 2597 nt
Filed under: Numida meleagris (helmeted guineafowl)
Lineage: Eukaryota; Metazoa; Chordata; Aves; Galliformes; Numididae
Description: lncRNA (ENSNMEG00000015115.1)
Source: RNAcentral